UGUGGCUCAAAGGGUAGGGCGCCAGCCCCAUAUGCCGGAGGUGGCAGGUUCAAGCUCCUGCCA
This 63-nucleotide transfer RNA is filed under the name Otolemur garnettii (small-eared galago). The record is from Rfam by way of RNAcentral. Lineage: Eukaryota; Metazoa; Chordata; Mammalia; Primates; Galagidae.